UACAGAGGUCCCAAGCGUUGUUCGGAUUCAUUGGGCGUAAAGGGUGCGUAGGCGGUGAUGUAAGUUGGAUGUGAAAUCCCGGGGCUCAACCCCGGAACUGCAUUCAAUACUGCAUUGCUAGAGUACUGGAGAGGAGAUUGGAAUUCACGGUGUAGCAGUGAAAUGCGUAGAUAUCGUGAGGAAGACCAGUGGCGAAGGCGAAUCUCUGGACAGUUACUGACGCUGAGGCACGAAGGCCAGGGGAGCAAACGGG
This 253-nucleotide ribosomal RNA is filed under the name uncultured bacterium. RNAcentral describes it as "partial 16S ribosomal RNA". It matches the Rfam family "Bacterial small subunit ribosomal RNA", at positions 524 to 776 of the family's 1533-position model. The record is from RNAcentral.